RNAcentral lists this ribosomal RNA (486 nucleotides) under uncultured cyanobacterium. RNAcentral's name for it is "bacterial SSU rRNA". It matches the Rfam family "Bacterial small subunit ribosomal RNA", at positions 888 to 1382 of the family's 1533-position model. The record is from RNAcentral. Lineage: Bacteria; Bacillati; Cyanobacteriota.
CCCGCUCAGAAACUUAAAUGAAUUGACGGGACCCGCACAAGCAGUGGAGCAUGUGGUUUAAUUCGAUGCAACGCGAAGAACCUUACCCAGGCUUGACAUGCAGAUGACCGCUCUAGAAAUAGAGUUUUCCUUCGGGACAUUUGCACAGGUGCUGCAUGGCUGUCGUCAGCUCGUGCCGUGAGGUGUAGAGUUAAGUCUUCUAACGAGCGCAACCCUUGUCUUUAGUUAAAACCAUUUGGAACUCUAAAGAGACUGCCGGUGUAAACCGGAGGAAGGAGAGGAUGACGUCAAGUCAGCAUGCCCCUUACAUCCUGGGCUACACGCGUAAUACAAUGGCUAAGACAAUAGGCAGCGAACCCGCGAGGGGAAGCGAAUCUAGCAAACUUAGCCUCAGUUCAGAUUGUAGGCUGCAACUCGCCUGCAUGAAGCCGGAAUCGCUAGUAAUCGCCGGUCAGCUAUACGGCGGUGAAUACGUUCUCGGGUCUU